This 659-nucleotide long non-coding RNA is filed under the name Homo sapiens (human). Its description in RNAcentral is "HSALNT0398533". Lineage: Eukaryota; Metazoa; Chordata; Mammalia; Primates; Hominidae. The record is from RNAcentral.
AGGAAGAGGGCUGGGUCUCACCUGGAGCCCUUGGGCUGCAGUUGAGGCUUCAGAGAGGGCUGGGAAGUCAUGAAUCGCUGGCCUGCUCCUCCCACAGUCUUCCCCAGCUGGAGCAAUGCUGUCCACUAAAUGCUACGAUGCCAUGAUCUCGAUCUGCACUGUCCAGAGGUGGCUGGGGGAACCACAAGCUACAGGCUGAGGGAGAGAAGAUCUGAGUCAGAGAGGAGUUCUGGAGAAACCAAGCGCAUCCCCCUCAACAUGAACUCCAGUCAAGAUUGGUCAGGUGCAGUGGCUUAUGCCUGUAAUCCCAGCUGAGGCAGGAGGAUCGCUUGAGCCCAGGAGUUUGAGACCAGCCUCGCCCACAUCUUCCAUCAGAGGAUCCCACGAAAACAGUGCCAAAGAGAAUUCAGAACUACGUCCACUGGUCCAGUAACCCAUGAUAAGAAAACUGAGGCUCAGAACGGGAAGUUCAUUGCUCAUCAUCAAACAUCCAGGAAAUGGUGGAGCCUGAAUGGGAACUCAGCUUCCAACAUGGCGUGGAUGUGGCCCAUCCCUUGGUGGCCUGGCUGGGUCUAUCUUAUGACAGUACGAGAUUGAAUGUUGGAGUGCCUUGCAGAAGAGAGAGAAAAUGUUGCUAAAACUUCAGGGGAAUGACUGGU